RNAcentral lists this ribosomal RNA (288 nucleotides) under Alphaproteobacteria bacterium. RNAcentral's name for it is "partial 16S ribosomal RNA". It matches the Rfam family "Eukaryotic small subunit ribosomal RNA", at positions 1551 to 1831 of the family's 1831-position model. Lineage: Bacteria; Pseudomonadati; Pseudomonadota; Alphaproteobacteria. The record is from RNAcentral.
CCCAUUAAAAUCCUACGUGAUUGGGAUCGGGAAUUGCAAUUAUUUCCCUUGAACGAGGAAUUCCCAGUAAGUGUGGGUCAUAAGCUCGCGUUGAUUACGUCCCUGCCCUUUGUACACACCGCCCGUCGCUGCCCGGGACUGAGCCGUUUCGAGAAAAGCGGGGACUGCUGCUGUCGGGGCUUUCGGGCCUUGGCUUCGGUGGAAACCGCUUUAAUCGCAGUGGCUUGAACCGGGCAAAAGUCGUAACAAGGUUUCCGUAGGUGAACCUGCGGAAGGAUCAUUAUCGAG